AUGCUGGAGGCGAUGCACACCAUGGUCAUGAUCUUCGCGGACCGCGAGCCGGCCAUGUGGUGCCCUGCGGGGGACGGCCUGUGCGGCGACCGCUGCGCCGGCGCCGCGGCCGGGUGGGAGUGGGAGCAGGGGAGCGGCUCGUCGACGGUGGCCAAGUGGGGCCUCGUCUGCGGCGAGCGCUACAAGGUCGGCCUCGUCCAGGCCAUCUACUUCGCCGGCUGCAUGAUGGGAUCCGGUGUCUUUGGACACCUGUCAGAUUCUUUUUUAGGUCGGAAAGGUUCCCUCCAGUUAGUGUGCUUCCUUAGUGGAGGCUUCGGCCUUCUCACCUCGCUCUCCCCCAACUAUUGGGUCUAUGCGGCCUUCCGCCUACUCACGGGCUUUAGUGCCGGAAGCAUUUGCUUUUGCUCCUUCGUCCUUGCCACGGAACCUAUUGGGCCAUCCUAUCGAGGCGUCGUUGGCACAUCCACUUGCUAUUUCUUCUCCGGCGGUAUUGCGGCCCUUGCUGGCAUCACAACAUUGUUCCAGUCCUCUUGGCGCAUCCUUUACAUUGUCACCUCUCUGCCAUCCCUCGCAUUCAUGCUCAUCGCCAUGCCAUUCGUCUCUGAGUCCCCGCGUUGGUACCUCGUGCGUUGCCGGACGGAUGAUGCGAUGCGUGUCCUACGAGACAUAGCAUCCACCAAUGGCAAGAGCAUCCCACAUUGCGUGGGGCUCAUGCUCGACGAUGAGGACAACAUCGCCAAGAAGGUUGUGGAGACGUCGUCGGUCUUAGAUGUGUUUCGGUCGCAGGCAAUGCGGGCUAGGCUCGUUCUCUUAGUUAUCAUCACCUUUCUUUGCUCAGUGGUGUACUUUGGGUUGACCCUCAAUGUGGUCAACCUAAAAUCAACCUUUACAUCAGUGUGGUUGUUAACUCUCUUGCUGAGAUGCCUGCAUACCUAG
RNAcentral lists this ribosomal RNA (936 nucleotides) under Triticum aestivum (bread wheat). RNAcentral's name for it is "partial small subunit ribosomal RNA". Lineage: Eukaryota; Viridiplantae; Streptophyta; Magnoliopsida; Poales; Poaceae. The record is from RNAcentral.